Molecule: microRNA precursor, 66 nt
Filed under: Mytilus edulis (blue mussel)
Lineage: Eukaryota; Metazoa; Mollusca; Bivalvia; Mytilida; Mytilidae
Also listed under: 1 other name
Description: mir-2 microRNA precursor family
Rfam family: mir-2 microRNA precursor family
About the family: The miRNAs are transcribed as ~70nt precursors (modelled here) and subsequently processed by the Dicer enzyme to give a ~22nt product.
Source: Rfam by way of RNAcentral
GAGAUCAUCAAACUGGUUAUGAUGUGUUGUGUUUUAUCAUAUCACAGCCAGCUUUGAUGAGCUUAU